RNAcentral lists this long non-coding RNA (202 nucleotides) under Setaria italica (foxtail millet). Its description in RNAcentral is "long non-coding RNA (SITA_LNC002787)". The record is from RNAcentral. Lineage: Eukaryota; Viridiplantae; Streptophyta; Magnoliopsida; Poales; Poaceae.
AACCAAAGGUUACAAAGAGUUCUUAAACUCUAGUCAUCAACAAUGAGGAGCUUAAAAACACAAGGGAAAAAAACUCUAAGACAAAGAAAAUAAUUAGAAGACUAAGCUUUAUUCUUCUUCUUCGUCCAUACUCCGACCUUGCGUUGUCUUUAUACAUCGCCAAUCCAUCACAUCUUUCGUCUGCUUAGAAACUUGAUGCCGG